GGGUGCUUGGCUCAGUUGGUUAGAGCGCCUCGUUUACACCGAGGAUGUCACAGGUUCGAGUCCUGUAGCGCCCA
Non-coding RNA from Treponema sp. GWC1_61_84, 74 nucleotides. The record is from Rfam. Lineage: Bacteria; Pseudomonadati; Spirochaetota; Spirochaetia; Treponematales; Treponemataceae.